GAUAUAAUGAUAUGAAAUAAACCUUGAUCUAAAAUCUACUUAGUACUUAAAUUAUAUUCUAGGAAAAUCUUAGAUUUGGCUUGCUGUUUGACAUGAUCCUUCCCUUGAUAAAAGAAAGCUUAGGAUAUCCUCAGUGGGUAAGUAAAGCAAACGUUGCAUUUGAACAGCCGCGCCGGCGUGCGAGCGAGACGGCGCUAGUGCCGCCGAGCGUCGCCGAGUGGCGCCGAGUGUCGCCGAGCGCGGCCGAGUGGCGCACAGACAUGGCGUCGCGCGCCGCGCUGUAAGUAUCGCCGGCUCGAUAAGGCUGCUCCGACACCGACACCUAUACCACAGCUGCUCCUCAAGCCUCACUAACUAAACAUUCUAACACUUAUGGAAACCACUAAAACAAUAAAACGCGUAGCACAUAGUCUAUUGACUUUAGUGUAGGUAUGUAGCUCUGUCGGUAUUAUCAUAGCUCAGUUAGGAUAGAAAGGACCCGACUACGAAGACAAAGCUUCGUUCCAAAACUCAGUAUUCUACCAUAAUAUGGUAUCCUAUUGACCGUACAGGUCGAACUGCAAAUAGCCAUGGAAAUUAAGAUGCCGAACUAUGUCUUAAAAACAAGCUUGGUGAAUUAUAAAUAUUAGUAGAGUCAAUAUUUUGCCGGUGCCAGUAUGUGAUGGAAUGUCCACAGUGUGCUAACAUGCGCAACUUUUUUAUCAGCUAUUUAUUAUCAGAGCAGUAUUAUAUAACUGUCAGUGUGUAUGUGCUGCGUCCCGCUCGCACGCGGGCGGCGAGCGCUAAGCGACGAGUGUACGAGCGAGAUGCAGCAUGUUGCAUUAAAUUUCGAUCCUAUUCUGUAAUGUUUUGUCCAAUCGCGUCCGAUCUCUGCGUGUUCCGGUUCUUUGUCAUCAAUGGGUUGCCGGGCGAGUCCAUUUGUAGUGCCACUCGAAAAUGUUUUACGCUAUAUUUAACAGAGAUUUUGAGCUAUGAAACGAUUAGUUAUCCGUGCGAUGGUUGUAUCUAUCGUUUCGAUCGUGAAUUUCGUUUCGGGGCGCAGUAUUUAGCGCAAUCGCUCUUAGGCCCUUUCGGUAUUAAUGAGUCGUGCCCACUUCAGCUGACUGCGUCGUACGCAAGGCUACUCUAACUAAACUAGUAGUAGUCCGGCGUUCGAAGGAGACGGUCGGGUGCGGACGCGUGCGAGUGAUAUGCGGAUAUGUUAUUGAGGUUUAAAAUGUUUUUGGAACGUUUCCCAUAGGCGCUCGGACGUACCGGUCGCGAUCGCGUAUAGUGCGGCCCGACCGCGCGGACUGAGUGCGGACGGCGGCCCCACGACGCUCAAUAAUGCUCAAAUUCCUGACUCACAAGCUGCGAACGCAUUCGUUGAAUGAGGAGAGCGUUUCCGAGAAGGUGGAGGAGCGCGACUCCGGCACCGAGUCGGACGACGACGCCGCCCCGCCCGGUGACUUCUGCACUGACGUCAUCAUGAAGUGGAACGACGUCACGGAUAUCAGCAUGGGCGGCGAAGCGUGCGCGUGCGCCCCCGCGCCGCCGCGCCUGCUGCCGGACCCGGAGCCCGACCACCUGUACGACCACCACUCCUCGGAGGAGGAACUAGAGGUGAUCAACGGGUUGCCGCGCGGGGCGGAGGGCGCGAGCGCGGCGGGCGGCGCGGGCGCGGGCGGCGGCGCGGGCGCGGCGGAGUCGCGGCGGCGCGGGGCGUCGUCGCCGCCGCCCGCCGCGCCCGAGAAGCGCAAGUGGCCCGCGCAGCCCUACCGCGACCUGCGGGACCUGGCGCCGCGCCCCGCCUCCUCCGACGACGACGACACCAAGGUGGAGACACCGGUGCGGUUCCGCACGUCGCCGCCGCUGGAGGCUCUAAAGCCGCGACGCGGAGUGUGCUCGUGUGGGGUGACGGGCGCGGGGACCCUAGCGGGUGCUGCGGGGCCCGCGGGGGGCCCGGUGGGGCCGGCGGCGCGCGGCAGGGCCCCACUGUCGCCGCGGCGCCGGCGCUUGCCGCUGCCGCCCCCUCGCCGACACCGACCCGCGCUCGACUUCGACAAGAUGCAACAGCUGAAGGUGGGCGGCGGCGUGCGCUCGUGGCGCGCGGUGGGCGGCGCGCACGGCGGCGAGCUGUCCGUCUUCUGCUGGUGAUGCGCCGACACAGGUACGGACACACGCACGGCGGCGAGCUGUCCGUCUUCUGCUGGUGAUGCGCCGACACAGAGCGUCGGCACUGAGCCGCCCCCGCCGCCCUCGCACCGCCACCCGCUGCCGGCCGCAGCGAGCCGCCGGCAGACUGCUGCGUGCCGCCGGCGGACCGCAGCGUGUCGCCGGCAGACCGCUGCGUACCGCCGGCAGACCGCUGCGUACCGCCGGCAGACCGCAGUGUGCCGCCGGCAGGCCGCGGCCGGGCGGCGGCCGACAUCCAGUUCCUCUGUAAAUUGCACUCUAAUAAUGAUCAAAGUACAAACUUACGAUACUAAGGGGUGUCGCCAGUCGCCACUCGGGCCGGUGAUGCAAGCCGACACUGUUUUUCGAAGAAUUUACUCGUUUUGAAUACUGUGUUUUUAUCCAUCAGUUUGAUACUCGACUAGAUUGUCAGAACGCGGGAUUUUUAAUAAAUAUUAAGUUAAUGAUGUCAACGAAACUACAAGUUUAUACGAGGCCAUCGCUCGGGUCCGUGCCCGAAAUUACUUUAAUUUGUCUAUUGUGAUAAAAUGGUAUUGUAAUGAUAUUUCAAUGGACUGAUAUCGAUCGUCGCGUCGUGUCCGCCGAGCAGCACUGUAGUGCACGGUACUGUGGCGGAGUCCGACGCGGCGGUCGUCACUGGAGGUGUGACAUUAUAUAAUCGCCUCGAGUUUUUGAUCUCGAAUUGCGACUGACACGCUGAGCGCGGGCCAGCCCGCAGCUGUGUAAACGCCCCGCAUGCGGGCUGCGUCCUCGCCCCGCAUGCGGGGAGCUGCGGGCUGACCCGCGCUCACCACACAAAACGUGAUUCCUUCGUAGAUUAACGUUUAUAUUUUACCAGUUAAAUGUCAAUUGCUAUGAAGGCUCCUGCGGCCAGUGACCGCACGAGCGCUUCGUACGAGUUGUAUCGGUUGUACUCUAGUUGUAUACUUAUGUUAGUAGUUUUUUAGCGGGGCUAAAAUAUUCUGUUACUUGUAUUGUGUUAUAAAACGAAAACGAAAAAAAAUGAAACAUAAUAAAGUUAACGUGGUGCGAGUGGAGUCAGUGAAUUUAACGAUAAAGACAUUUAACAAAUUUUCAAAUUAAUAUGAUAAAAAGUACUAAGACUUUUUUUUAAAUCGCUUGGAUAAAGAUAUUGUAUGUACAUAGCGUUAAGAGACGUAGUAUAAGUGCAGACUUAGAUGUAGUAGGUAUAACAAAUUGUAUGCGAGCGUCGCCUGCCGGCCUCGCCCGAUCUAUUGUUAACGACUUUUUUUAAUUGUGUUAUUUUUUAUUUCUGCUAGUUUCGUUACUGACGUUUCCUUGUUAUCGAGCCCAGCCGACUGCGAGCCGGCCGCGUCCAAUGUCGAUCUCCAUGUUUGCGAAUCUAUCACUAGAUAUCAAUUAUACUAAUACAUUCGACAACGCCACUCGACAUACAAAUUACAUAUUUUUACAUGAUUAUUGUCAACAUUAAUUUGUAGAAAUGAAUAAUUUUAAAUUCAUUUCAACGAUGUGUCGCACUGUAGGUAUAGUUUACGCGGGAACAGAUGCUGAGCUGUGUCGCCUCUAGCCGACUACGAGAAUAGCAGUAAUAUGUGAAUAAUGGACAUUUUUGUAUGGGUUUUCUAGGGGAUAUAUAGCUUAUGAGUAGUCAGAUAGAGGGGAAAACAGCUCCCGACUACACGUGAAUGAAAUUGAAACACGAAUUUGCAGAUUGUCAUGUGCUCUAUACACAUUCAAUUGAAAAAUGCAAAAAAAUUAAGAAAAUAUUGCAAUUUCGUGAUUUCAUAUACAUUUUGAACAUGUGUACUAUAAAAUGUAUUGAUCUAUUUAUAUAAAUGUGUGUAAUAGCAUCAGUAACCGAGGCAGUACGUAGACUAUAUCGUGCGGCACUCGAGCCGAGCUUGCGGUCAAGUUGUUUGCAUCAAUCAGUGGUGAUAUUUUACAAAAUAAUUUAUAUUAUGUUUUUAUAUAUUAACAAGCGUAAUAAAGAGUGAGCAAAAGCACAUCUUA
RNA transcript from Helicoverpa zea (corn earworm), 4167 nucleotides. It is a transcript of the gene named translation initiation factor IF-2, with no coding region annotated. NCBI's taxonomy places the organism in Eukaryota, Metazoa, Arthropoda, Insecta, Lepidoptera, Noctuidae. The record is from RefSeq and is a predicted model, not a curated record. The transcript has 8 exons.